RNAcentral lists this ribosomal RNA (253 nucleotides) under uncultured bacterium. Its description in RNAcentral is "partial 16S ribosomal RNA". It matches the Rfam family "Bacterial small subunit ribosomal RNA", at positions 524 to 776 of the family's 1533-position model. The record is from RNAcentral.
UACGGAGGAUCCGAGCGUUAUCCGGAUUUAUUGGGUUUAAAGGGAGCGUAGGUGGAUUGUUAAGUCAGUUGUGAAAGUUUGCGGCUCAACCGUAAAAUUGCAGUUGAAACUGGCAGUCUUGAGUACAGUAGAGGUGGGCGGAAUUCGUGGUGUAGCGGUGAAAUGCUUAGAUAUCACGAAGAACUCCGAUUGCGAAGGCAGCUCACUGGACUGCAACUGACACUGAGGCUCGAAAGUGUAGGUAUCAAACAGG